RNAcentral lists this ribosomal RNA (465 nucleotides) under uncultured bacterium. RNAcentral's name for it is "partial 16S ribosomal RNA". It matches the Rfam family "Bacterial small subunit ribosomal RNA", at positions 28 to 507 of the family's 1533-position model. The record is from RNAcentral.
GACGAACGCUGGCGGCGUGCUUAACACAUGCAAGUCGAACGGAAAGGCCCCUUUGGGGGUACUCGAGUGGCGAACGGGUGAGUAACACGUGAGUAACCUGCCCUUGACUUCGGGAUAACUUCAGGAAACUGGGGCUAAUACCGGAUAGGAAUCCUUGCUGCAUGGUGGGGGUUGGAAAGCUUCGGCGGUUUUGGAUGGACUCGCGGCUUAUCAGCUUGUUGGUGGGGUAGUGGCUUACCAAGGCUUUGACGGGUAGCCGGCCUGAGAGGGCGACCGGCCACAUUGGGACUGAGAUACGGCCCAGACUCCUACGGGAGGCAGCAGUGGGGAAUAUUGCACAAUGGGCGGAAGCCUGAUGCAGCAACGCCGCGGGCGGGAUGACGGCCUUCGGGUUGUAAACCGCUUUCAGCAGGGGCGAAGCUUGUGGUGACGGUACCUGCAGAAGAAGCAACGGCUAACUACGUG